This 482-nucleotide ribosomal RNA is filed under the name uncultured bacterium. RNAcentral's name for it is "partial 16S ribosomal RNA". It matches the Rfam family "Bacterial small subunit ribosomal RNA", at positions 30 to 507 of the family's 1533-position model. The record is from RNAcentral.
AUUGAACGCUGGCGGCAUGCUUUACACAUGCAAGUCGAACGGUAACAGGCCGCAAGGUGCUGACGAGUGGCGAACGGGUGAGUAAUGCAUCGGAACGUGCCCAGUCGUGGGGGAUAACUACUCGAAAGAGUAGCUAAUACCGCAUACGAUCUAUGGAUGAAAGCGGGGGACCGUAAGGCCUCGCGCGAUUGGUGCGGCCGAUGUCAGAUUAGGUAGUUGGUGGGGUAAAGGCUCACCAAGCCAACGAUCUGUAGCUGGUCUGAGAGGACGACCAGCCACACUGGGACUGAGACACGGCCCAGACUCCUACGGGAGGCAGCAGUGGGGAAUGUUGGACAAUGGGCGCAAGCCUGAUCCAGCAAUGCCGCGUGCAGGAAGAAGGCCUUCGGGUUGUAAACUGCUUUUGUACGGAACGAAACGGCUCUGGUUAAUACCCGGGGCUAAUGACGGUACCGGAAGAAUAAGCACCGGCUAACUACGUG